RNAcentral lists this ribosomal RNA (1373 nucleotides) under uncultured Bordetella sp. RNAcentral's name for it is "partial 16S-23S ribosomal RNA intergenic spacer". It matches the Rfam family "Bacterial small subunit ribosomal RNA", at positions 130 to 1499 of the family's 1533-position model. The record is from RNAcentral. Lineage: Bacteria; Pseudomonadati; Pseudomonadota; Betaproteobacteria; Burkholderiales; Alcaligenaceae.
GCCUAGUAGCGGGAUAACUACGCGAAAGCGUAGCUAAUACCGCAUACGUUCCUUCGGGGGAAAGCGGGGACCUUCGCCUCGCAGACCAUUAGAGCGGCCGCCGAUAUCGGAUUAGCUAGUUGGUGGGGUAACGGCUCACCAAGGCGACGAUCCGUAGCUGGUUUGAGAGGACGACCGUCAUUACUGGGGACUGGAGAUACCGGGCCUGUGACUCCUACGGAGGCAGCAGUGCGGGGGAAUUUUGACAAAUGGGCCUGAUCCAGCCAUCCCGCGUGUGCGAUGAAGGCCUUCGGGUUGUAAAGCACUUUAAGCAGGAAAGAAACGGCACGGGAUAAUACCCCGUGCAACUGAUUGCGCCUGCAGAAUAAGCACCGGCUGCACAUACGCCAGCAGCCGCGGUAAUACGUAGGGUGCAAGCGUUAAUCGGAAUUACUGGGCGAAGCGUGCAGGCGGUUCGAAAGAAAGAUGAAAUCCCAGAGCUUAACUUUGGAACUGCAUUUUUAACUACCGCCGAGCUGAUAGUGUGUCAGAGGAGGUGGAAUUCCGCGUGUAGCAGUGAAUGCGUAGAUAUGCGGAGGAACACCGAUGGCGAAGCGCAGCCUCCCUGGGAUAACACUGACGCUCAUGCACGAAAGCGUGGGGAGCAAACAGGAUUAGAUACCCUGAAGUAGUCCACGCCCAAACGAUGUCAACUAGCUGUUGGGGCCUUCGGGCCUUGGUAGCGCAGCUAACGCGUGAAGUUGACCGCCCGGGGAGUACGGUCGCAAGAUUAAAACUCAAAGGAAUUGACGGGGACCCCGCACAAGCGGUGGAUGAUGAGAUUUAAUUCGAUGCAACGCGAAAAUCUUACCUACCCUUGACAUGUCUGGAAUCCCGAAGAGAUUUUGGGAGUGCUCGCAAGAGAACCGGAACACAGGUGUUGCAUGGCUGUCGUCAGCUCGUGUCGGGAGAUGUUGCUGAAAACCUGCAACGAGCGGCAACCCUUGUCAUUAGUUGCUACGAAAGGGCACUCUAAUGAGACUGCCGGUACAAACCGGAGGAAGGUGGGGAUGACGCUAAGUCCUCAUGGCCCUUAUGGGUAGGGCUUCACACGUCAUACAAUGGUCGGGACAGAGGGUCGCCAACCCGCGAGGGGGGAGCCAAUCCCAGAAACCCGAUCGUAGUCCGGAUCGCAGUCUGCAACCUGACUGCGCGGAAGUCGGAAUCGCUAGUAAUCGCGGAUCAGCAUGUCGCGGUGAAUACGUUCCCGGGUCUUGUACACCGCCCGUCACACCAUGGGAGUGUGGGUUUUACCAGAAGUAGUUAGCCUAACCGUAAGGAGGGCGAUUACCACGGUAGGAUUCCAUGACUGGGGUGAAGUCGUAACAAGGUAG